GGGGAUAUAGCUCAGUGACAUAGCACCUUCCUGGCAAGCUUGAGGUCCUGAGUUCAAUUCCCAGUAACCCCC
RNAcentral lists this transfer RNA (72 nucleotides) under Cavia porcellus (domestic guinea pig). It matches the Rfam family "tRNA". Rfam says of the family: Transfer RNA (tRNA) molecules are approximately 80 nucleotides in length. Their secondary structure includes four short double-helical elements and three loops (D, anti-codon, and T loops). Further hydrogen bonds mediate the characteristic L-shaped molecular structure. tRNAs have two regions of fundamental functional importance: the anti-codon, which is responsible for specific mRNA codon recognition, and the 3' end, to which the tRNAs corresponding amino acid is attached (by aminoacyl-tRNA synthetases). tRNAs cope with the degeneracy of the genetic code in two manners: having more than one tRNA (with a specific anti-codon) for a particular amino acid; and 'wobble' base-pairing, i.e. permitting non-standard base-pairing at the 3rd anti-codon position. Lineage: Eukaryota; Metazoa; Chordata; Mammalia; Rodentia; Caviidae. The record is from Rfam by way of RNAcentral.